Molecule: ribosomal RNA, 274 nt
Filed under: uncultured bacterium
Lineage: Bacteria
Description: partial 16S ribosomal RNA
Rfam family: Bacterial small subunit ribosomal RNA
Source: RNAcentral
AUACGGGGGGGACGAGCGUUGUUCGGAUUCACUGGGCGUAAAGAGCACGUAGGCGGUUUGGUAAGUUAGGUGUGAAAUCUCUGGGCUCAACCCAGAAACUGCGCUUAAUACUGCUAAACUAGAGAGAUAUAGGGGGUUGCGGAACUCACGGUGGAGCGGUGAAAUGCGUAGAGAUCGUGGGGAACACCUGUGGCGAAGGCGGCAACCUGGAUAUUUUCUGACGCUGAGGUGCGAAAGCGUGGGUAUCGAACAGGAUUAGAAACCCCAGUAGUCC